GCCCUGGCCAGCGCUGGGAUGGGUGUGCGGAACCCAAGGCUCCUCUAGACUUUGACUGUUAUGGCUGUUCAGCUACAGACAUGCCUGACUCUAGGAAGGAAGGGACCCUGUGAAGAAGCUCUUCCUGGCUUCUGGGGGCUUCAGUGCAGGAUUUACUAAAGCCCUCUGGGAACUUCCAGCUGCAUCAGCUGCGAAUGUGUGGGAUCCUGAAAGUUGUGUGGAGUUGGGGAGAACUUCUCCACUGAAAGAGGCCCCUCCACCCCACUCUCUUCCUGCUUGUGCAUACGCUGGCUUCUUUCCCAGCAGGACCUGAAAAUGCCCAGCUUAGGAAAGACUUUGCGAAGUAAAUGACAGGUUCUACGUGCAUUUGAAAAUGUGUCCCCUUGUGUGGGAGACAUCAGCUUGCGGAUGACACUAAUAUCUACGGAGGCUUGAUGCUGCCAGGGUGUCUGAGUCUCUGAGGGCACAGAUAGCCCUGGGAUUGAGUGAUUCCUUCUUGGCCCUCCUGGGACUCAGAGACUCAGGCACCUAUUAGUCAGCCACAGGCCCAGAAACAAAAGCCCAGCAGUGACUGACAAGAAUGCAAAUAGUGCAGUGGCUUUUCUUCAACAUGUGGACACGGCCUGGGCUUGAAUCUUUGCCCUGCCACUAAUUAGCUCUGUGACCUGGGCACAUGUGACUUAACCUCUCUGGGCCCCAGUUUUGUCAUCUGUAAAAUGAAGGUGAUGGUGAGUUUUUGUGAGAAUUAAGCGAGAUAAUGAAUUCAUGGGACUUAGCACAGGUCAUAUGUGGUGCUCAGUAAAUGUUCCAUUUAAAAAUAAAAAAUAGAAACAAGCCCACAAGUACCCCUGAGUGUCACUUCUUGCAGUUGCUGCUUGCCAUCAUGUGGGCUGGUGCGACAACUUCAGGAAUGGGCUCUUUGUCCUCUCCUGGGACCCCUCCAGGCUCCUGCAGCCAUCCUGGCCUCCCCUCACCUGUCCUCUUUCAGAACAGAGCUUGCCCCGCUGAGUGAGCCCCUCCUGCAUUGUCCCCUGGCUGGGCCGUGUCUUCCUGACACUAGGACUCCAGUCUCCCCUCAGGUUGCUUGACUAGGCCCCAGCCCCCUCCACCCCAGGCCCAGCUUCAGCUCUGGGGAC
This is a long non-coding RNA of Hipposideros armiger (great roundleaf bat), 1136 nucleotides long. RefSeq lists it as uncharacterized. The transcript is spliced from 4 exons. Lineage: Eukaryota; Metazoa; Chordata; Mammalia; Chiroptera; Hipposideridae. The record is from RefSeq and is a predicted model, not a curated record.